GUCAAACAUAAAAAAUCAAUAAAAAUUUUCAUUAUCGCUGGUGCUGCCUUAAAUUUUUAUGCUAGAAAUUCUUAAUAAAGCCUGCUUUGAAAUAACAAGUGGCUCAAAAAUAUAGCUGAGAAGUGGUUCAAUUGAGUUCGAUCAAAUCUAAAUUAACGAUCCGAAAGAAGCACUUAUCAAUCAUCGAAUACAAUUAAAAAUCUUUUUUGAUCGAAAGCUUCGUUACAAAUAUCGAUAACAGCAACCAUUGCGAUUGGAGGAAGUACAACAACUGACGGACCAAUACUAGUUACUAAGCACCGUAAAACAGCGUUGGCGGUAUAGAGAAAAGCCAGCGCAUAAAGUUUUCUUCUGAUCCCAGGUAUAUAAAAAAUCAACGAAAAUUAAUAAAUUAACUACAAUGGCACCUGUGCGGGGGGAUGGUAUGAGAGGCCUGGCAGUCUUUAUAUCGGAUAUAAGAAACUGUAAAAGCAAAGAAGCCGAAGUGAAGCGGAUAAAUAAAGAGCUUGCGAACAUACGUAGUAAAUUUAAAGGAGACAAAACCCUUGAUGGAUAUCAAAAGAAAAAA
Teleopsis dalmanni is the source of this 568-nucleotide long non-coding RNA. RefSeq lists it as uncharacterized. The transcript is spliced from 3 exons. The record is from RefSeq and is a predicted model, not a curated record. Lineage: Eukaryota; Metazoa; Arthropoda; Insecta; Diptera; Diopsidae.